CCUGCCCGGGCCCGGCUUGCGUGGCCUCUGCAGCCUCGGGGGCUGUGGGAAGGGGAAACGCGGGGGAUGUCGUGGGGGGCGCUGAAGGUGGCCGCAGGGGCAGCCAGGGGACGCCGCGGCUGCUGGGGACAGCGGCGGGGCCCCGCAGCCUUCCGGGAGCGGGCGCGGGGCCCGUGCCUCGGGUGCGUGUGUGUGCAGCCGUGUGCACGCGGGUGUGGGCGGCCGAGGCUGCGCACGGAUGCUCUGCCGGCCGCGCCGGCCGGAGCCGAGCAGCUGGGUACCCGGGCCCCGGGUCCUCUGUCGCUGCCCCCGCCUCCGAGAAGGACUGGAGAGCGCGGCGCCUGGGACCGCUCCUGGGACGCGCCUUCCAGCGCCUUCUCCCCCAAACGCACUGGACCAGCAGCUCACCCCGGGGAUAAUACCCGCUGCCCGUGCGUGUCUCGCUCAGUGACGGCGUGGGAGGCCACCGCGGAGAGCCCACUGCGGGGUCACGGCCGCUGCGCACAGCCUCCGUCUGGCUCUGGUGCAGGAGGCCUAGUUGCGUCACCUCCCUUUCCUUCAUCUGUUUGGCUUGAUUCCUGGGCCCCACUAGAGGGUAAGCCUGCCCGAGGUGUUCCGAGGUGGUGUCAGCGUUUGGGGAACUUGCCUCCCCAAAGGGAUACCUGUCAUGGGAUUUUGAGUGCCGUGGGCAGGCGAGGGCAGUGCAAGCGCGCAGUUAGCUCAGGCGCAGAGUCUAAGCUGCAGCGGGAGGACACACACAGAGGCCUACACCACCGGCUGGUGGCCGGUGGCUGGAGUGGGAGGCAGGGAUGCUAGAGCAGGUCAUUGGGGGCACAGAACACGGGAGCUUCAAAAUGUCGCCAAGCGCUGAGUGAUAAUACCAACUUGUUUCUCUACCAAAGGGCUCAUUUCUAUUGCCUUAAAGAUCCUGAAAUAUCUUGUUCAUUAUUUACCAAGAGAAAAGUGCUUGCUGUAGGGGAGGCAGAGAAAUGGAGUGGAAAGGGGCAUAAACUUAGCAGCAGUGUGACAUUGAGUGAGUUAUUUAACCUCUACUCCUACUUGGGCUUAUCUACAAAAUGCAGAUAAUUAUACCUACCUUGCAGGGUUGUCAGAAUUUGAAGUGUUUAGCUAUUAUUAGUAAGGGCCUAGUACCCAGGCACUUGAACUUGUCAAUACUGAAGAUUUUUUUAUUGGUUCAGCUGCUUGACAAACAGGGGAUCUUUUUGCUAUUUUGGAUGUUUGCUAUUCUGCCAGAUAUGAUAAAGCAGACUGGUGUGAGUGUGAGUGUGUGUGUGUUUGAUGAGGGGGGAUGGGGAGGAGUAGCAAAACCCAUAAUCUCUCUACUGUAGAUCAUAUAAAAUGCUAGAUCUGGAAAGAGAUUAAGAUCUCACUUUAUUAAUUAUAGCUUCUCUUUAAUGUUUAUUUCAUACCUGUCACCAUGUGAAAAACUUCACAUAUACUAAUUUAUGUAAUCUCUCCAGCAACUUAAUGCAAGAAGUAAAUAUCAUCCCCAUUUUACAGAUGCACAAGGUGAGUCUUGGCCUAAGUCCUGUUACUACUAGUUAAUAGCAGAACUGGAACUUGAGCCAGGGCAUCAGGCUCUGUGGUUUGGGUCUUAUUCUUUCUAGUGUUCCAGCAAUGUGAAGGUGGUAUGUGGGGGAAGGGAAAGCCAGCAUUGGCUGCAAAAAUAGCAUCUCAUAUUGUUCCAAUGAUACCUUAUUUUUUUAUUUUACAUUUUACCCAGCAUUGUCCAGAUGUGAACCAAGAUUUGGCCUUUUCACCAAGAGAAAAGGGAAGGCUCAUGGGCAUGGGCACACAGUGCUGAGAUCGUGGGCACACAGUAGGUAUUUGGUAAAUGCUUGUGGAAAGAACAAAUCUUGAGGCAUUGUCAUUCUUGCCAGAAGGAGGCCCUAUGCUUAAUGCCACCAAGUCUCCUUAAGCUAGCUAUUUUUAUAUACAACACAUUGUAACAUAAGCAUCUGAUUCAUGGAUUUAAAGAUCUGAAACUCUUUCAGACCAAGAUUGGUGUUAUUAUCUGUGACUAACUGAUUAGAGUUUUUAAGUAUGCGAACAAUGGAAUCUGAGCUUUUGGGCUUUUGUAGUGAUCUCUUGAGAUAUACCAAUUUGUUUUGCUCUAACAUCUGUUCAACGUGGACUUUAAUGGGUACAGCUGCUUGAGUUAAGUUUUCUGGAGAGCACCAGAUGAUUGUUUGGCAUCCAGAAUAAAGAGUUCAAAAUAUUAAGUUUCUUUCAAAUUUAAGUUUUUGAGAAAGUUCUGUGACUGAUGUGGAUUAAUGUGGGAAUAGUAAACCAAUUUUAUUCAUUUGUUCAUUUAUUUAUUUAUUUACUUAUUUUGCAGUACUGGGGAUUGAACCCAGGGGCCUCAUGCAUGCCCGGCAAGCGCUCUACCACUGAGCUACUUCUUCAACCCAGUAAACUAGUUUUAAA
RNAcentral lists this long non-coding RNA (2448 nucleotides) under Marmota monax (woodchuck). Lineage: Eukaryota; Metazoa; Chordata; Mammalia; Rodentia; Sciuridae. The record is from RNAcentral.